RNAcentral lists this ribosomal RNA (497 nucleotides) under uncultured bacterium. Its description in RNAcentral is "partial 16S ribosomal RNA". It matches the Rfam family "Bacterial small subunit ribosomal RNA", at positions 28 to 507 of the family's 1533-position model. The record is from RNAcentral.
GACGAACGCUGGCGGCGUGCCUAAUACAUGCAAGUUGAGCGCUGAAGGUUGGUACUUGUACCAACUGGAUGAGCAGCGAACGGGUGAGUAACGCGUGGGGAAUCUGCCUUUGAGCGGGGGACAACAUUUGGAAACGAAUGCUAAUACCGCAUAAAAACUUUAAACACAAGUUUUAAGUUUGAAAGAUGCAAUUGCAUCACUCAAAGAUGAUCCCGCGUUGUAUUAGCUAGUUGGUGAGGUAAAGGCUCACCAAGGCGAUGAUACAUAGCCGACCUGAGAGGGUGAUCGGCCACAUUGGGACUGAGACACGGCCCAAACUCCUACGGGAGGCAGCAGGAGGGAAUCUUCGGCAAUGGACGAAAGUCUGACCGAGCAACGCCGCGUGAGUGAAGAAGGUUGUCGGAUCGUAAAACUCUGUUGGUAGAGAAGAACGUUGGUGAGAGUGGAAAGCUCAUCAAGUGACGGUAACUACCCAGAAAGGGACGGCUAACUACGUG